Molecule: long non-coding RNA, 1068 nt
Filed under: Chrysemys picta bellii (western painted turtle)
Lineage: Eukaryota; Metazoa; Chordata; Testudines; Emydidae
Description: lncRNA (ENSCPBG00000002281.1)
Source: RNAcentral
CAGGCUUCACUAGAUGAAGGCACUGACCCUGUCCUUUCUCGGUGCAUGAGCAAGGAUUGCAGCAAUUUACUCAGCUUUCACUCAGUCAAACGCCCACUGAGCUCAAGGAACGUUUUGCCUGAGAGAAGUGACUGAGUCACAUCCUCAGGACCCGGCCGCUAUUGCAGAGACAGGCUGCGUGGCCACGUUCGGAGACAGGGUUUCCCUUCGGGCCCACCUGUAAUUAAUGGAAGAGGCAAACCCAACUGGAUCACUCAAUGGGUUAGCGCCGCGGGUUCGCGGGUGGCUAGAUCUGUGCGUUCCCGCGGUAUGUCUUCCUGCAGGGAAGCCGGUAUGCCUAGGAGUGUCCACAUGCUCGGUCUAGGGCACAGUGCUGAUCUCUCUGCUUAGCCUUGUCUACACAAGAACAUUGCACCGCUGAAACGUACACUUGUGCGAUUGAACUGGUGGAAGUUGCAAGGAGGCAGUGGGUUCACACUAGCCCUCCUGCCUUGGGUCCACACGUCCAUUCCCAGCACUGCCUGCAAACCUUUCAGCAGCACCGCGCUGUGAGUACUUAGUAUCCCGCGUUCUGCGGAAGCAGAUGUACUGCUGGCAGUGCGGUAAUGAAUCCCUUCAGACACUGCCAAGUGCUGUGAUAAUAUACACGGGUUGGGAUCCGAUUUUAUCCCGGGAACUGUGAUGCCCUGCCAGGUGGGAGGAACAGCCGGUGCUGCCUCUCCCAUUUCACCACCAGGAGCAGCUGAGGUAGCUCCUGGGAAUGCAAGCGCAGAACCUCAGCCAGCUCGGGUAUCCAGGAGAUGCUUCUCCACCAGCUGCCCAAGUGAGGCCCCAGCAAGACUGCAAGCUCUUUGGGGCUGGAACAUUUCUUCGGUACAUGUUUGUAAGCUGCCUAGCACAACAGUGUCCUGGCCUCUAAGUGCUACUACAAUACAGUAUCCUGUUUGCAGCGUACUUCUGUGCCAAGGCAAACUGAUCUCCAAGCGGAGGUAUCCAUCCUUCUUUCAGAUCCUGUCAGCAGAUGUCAUGCAUACUAGUGUGAGUGAAAAAAUAAUUCUAACCCCUUGA